RNAcentral lists this ribosomal RNA (210 nucleotides) under Triticum aestivum (bread wheat). Its description in RNAcentral is "partial small subunit ribosomal RNA". The record is from RNAcentral. Lineage: Eukaryota; Viridiplantae; Streptophyta; Magnoliopsida; Poales; Poaceae.
AUGAACCCCGCCCCCGCCCCUGGCCCUGACGGCCUCCCCGUGAAGUUCUUCCAAACCUUCUGGGAUGUGAUUAAGACAGAGGUGAUGGCCCUAUUUGAGGAAUUCUAUGUGGGUGCCAUUGACAUAUCCCACCUCAACUAUGGGAUUAUCACUCUCAUCCCUAAGGUGGGGGAGCUUCUGACAUCCCCCAGUUUCGGCCGAUCACGGUGA